RNAcentral lists this ribosomal RNA (254 nucleotides) under uncultured bacterium. RNAcentral's name for it is "partial 16S ribosomal RNA". It matches the Rfam family "Bacterial small subunit ribosomal RNA", at positions 524 to 776 of the family's 1533-position model. The record is from RNAcentral.
UACGUAGGGAGCGAGCGUUGUCCGGAUUCAUUGGGCGUAAAGAGCUCGUAGGCGGCUUGAUAAGUCGGAUGUGAAACCUCCAGGCUCAACCUGGAGUCGCCAUCCGAUACUGUCAUGGCUAGAGUCCGGUAGGGGCCCACGGAAUUCCUGGUGUAGCGGUGAAAUGCGCAGAUAUCAGGAAGAACACCCGUGGCUAAGGCGGCUCUCUAGUACGGUACUGACGCUGAGACGCGAAAGCGUGGGGAGCGAACAGG